This 695-nucleotide ribosomal RNA is filed under the name Corixidea sp. UCR ENT 00081303. RNAcentral describes it as "partial large subunit ribosomal RNA". It matches the Rfam family "Eukaryotic large subunit ribosomal RNA", at positions 390 to 1140 of the family's 3401-position model. Lineage: Eukaryota; Metazoa; Arthropoda; Insecta; Hemiptera; Schizopteridae. The record is from RNAcentral.
CAAAAGUACGNGAAACAGUUUAGGGGUAAACGGAAAAGAACUAAAAAUCCGAAAAGGGAGAUUCACGUCUUCUCAUAUGGUUAAAUAUAAUAUUUUUAAGGAUAAUUUAUAAUCUAAUACUUUUGUGUUAUUAUUAUUUAUUGCCUUUAUUUAUUAUAUAAUAACAAUGGUAGACCGACCAAGGAGUCUAACAUGUGCGCAAGUCAUUUGGUUAUAAAACCAAAAGGCAUAACAAAAGUAAAGUAAGCUUUGCUUAAUUAGGGAAGAUAAUUAUAAACAAAAUAUUUUUGUUAUAAUUCGCAUUCCCGGGGCGUCUAUUACUCAUUGCGAGUAAAGGCGCACCAAGAGCGUACAUGUUGGGACCCGAAAGAUGGUGAACUAUGCCUGGCCAGGAUGAAGCCAGGGGAAACCCUGGUGGAGGUCCGUAGCGAUUCUGACGUGCAAAUCGAUCGUCAGAGCUAGGUAUAGGGGCGAUAGACUUAUCGAACUAUCUAGUAGCUGGUUCCUUCCGAAGUUUCCCUCAGGAUAGCUGGUGCCAAUGAUGAUUAGAGUCUCAUCUGGUAAAGCGAAUGAUUAGAGGCCUUGGGGCCGAAACGACCUCAACCUAUUCUCAAACUUUAAAUGGAUGAGAGCCUUGGCUUGCUUAAAAGUGAAGCCAAGGAUUUGGAUCUAGGUGCCAAGUGGGCCAAUUUUGG